RNAcentral lists this ribosomal RNA (497 nucleotides) under uncultured bacterium. RNAcentral describes it as "partial 16S ribosomal RNA". It matches the Rfam family "Bacterial small subunit ribosomal RNA", at positions 28 to 507 of the family's 1533-position model. The record is from RNAcentral.
GAUGAACGCUGGCGGCGUGCCUAAUACAUGCCAGUCGAGCGAACAGACGAGGAGCUUGCUCCUCUGACGUUAGCGGCGGACGGGUGAGUCACACGUGUAUAACCUACCUAUAAGACUGGGAUAACUUCGGGAAACCGGAGCUAAUACCGGAUAAUAUAUUGAACCGCAUGGUUCAAUAGUGAAAGACGGUUUUGCUGUCACUUAUAGAUGGAUCCGCGCCGCAUUAGCUAGUUGGUACGUUCACGGGCUACCAAGGCAAGCAGGCGUAGACGACGUGAGAGGGUGAUAGGCCACACGGGAGCUGAGACACGGACCAGACUCCUAAGGGAGGCAGCAGUAGGGAAUCUGCCGCAAUGGGCGAAAGCCUGACGGAGCAACGCGGAGUGAGUGAUGAAGGUCUUCGGAUCGUAAAAAUCUGUUAUGAGGGAAGAACAAAUGUGUAAGUAACUAUGCACGUCUUGACGGUACCUAAUCAGAAAGCAACGGCUAACUACGUG